This 324-nucleotide ribosomal RNA is filed under the name Triticum aestivum (bread wheat). RNAcentral describes it as "partial small subunit ribosomal RNA". Lineage: Eukaryota; Viridiplantae; Streptophyta; Magnoliopsida; Poales; Poaceae. The record is from RNAcentral.
AUGCAUAAGCUUCAAGCUUCGAGUCUCUAUCUGAUGUAUAGUCCAUUUGAGAAGAGAAGUGAAAAGCCCAACAACAAUACUACAAUGACGCUUGCCAUUGGAGUUAGUCUGUCAAUUCUUCACGUGGGGCCUAGUUCUGUUCUCACCUUGUUGUAUGAGAUCGUAGCACAAGGAGUUGCAUCUGAGCUCCUGCCAUUUCUACAAUUUUUGAUUAAUGAACACAAUUGGCAUGCUAACCGUCAACACAUUGGACUGCAGCCAUACUUAUUACAGAAGAAAACAGUGGUUUUGCAAAAUCUGCAGGGAAUAGUCACCUUUUUGUGA